This 241-nucleotide long non-coding RNA is filed under the name Elaeis guineensis (African oil palm). RNAcentral's name for it is "long non-coding RNA (EGUI_LNC001753)". The record is from RNAcentral. Lineage: Eukaryota; Viridiplantae; Streptophyta; Magnoliopsida; Arecales; Arecaceae.
AAUAUAAGGGCCUGAUCCAAAUUUUUUUAAAAAAAUUCUCAUAUUUUAAAGCAUGUAGAAGAGAAAAAAAGAUAAAUAGAUUCAUGCGCUAUGCACGUGAGCAGGAGGAGGGGAGUCUUCCUCUUCUCCAUUUCUAGCUAGGAAAAGGGGUCCUAGGGCAACCAAACCCAAGGAUCCGUGUCUAUAAAAGAUCCCUUCCCCUCCUAGCCACCUUGCCUCAAAAUCUCUUCCAACAUCGGUA